RNAcentral lists this ribosomal RNA (253 nucleotides) under uncultured bacterium. Its description in RNAcentral is "partial 16S ribosomal RNA". It matches the Rfam family "Bacterial small subunit ribosomal RNA", at positions 524 to 776 of the family's 1533-position model. The record is from RNAcentral.
GACGGAGGAUGCAAGCGUUAUCCGGAAUGAUUGGGCGUAAAGCGUCCGCAGGUGGCCGUUCAAGUCUGCUGUCAAAGCCCGGGGCUUAACUUCGGAAAGGCAGUGGAAACUGAACAGCUAGAGUAUGGUAGGGGCAGAGGGAAUUCCUGGUGUAGCGGUGAAAUGCGUAGAGAUCAGGAAGAACAUCGGUGGCGAAGGCGCUCUGCUGGACCAGAACUGACACUCAGGGACGAAAGCUAGGGGAGCGAAUGGG